RNAcentral lists this long non-coding RNA (296 nucleotides) under Gossypium raimondii (Peruvian cotton). Its description in RNAcentral is "long non-coding RNA (GRAI_LNC004388)". The record is from RNAcentral. Lineage: Eukaryota; Viridiplantae; Streptophyta; Magnoliopsida; Malvales; Malvaceae.
AGGGAUUUCUUUUGUAAUUUUCAUUUUUCUGGCCAUAUAAAAGCCAAAUACGAAUUGUAGAAAGAGGGGGGAACAACUGAAUGAAAAGCAGAUCAAAAAAUUUAAGAAAAAGGUUGAUUUAAGUUCUUUUUUUAUUCUGGCAUUUUUUUAUUUUCUUUAUUUUUAUUUUUAUUUUUAUUUUUUGUUUGUUUCAUUACUCUUUUUAACAAAAAAACGAAACUAAAAGGAAAAAGAAAAAAUACCUGACCGCUUCGAAAGGCCAGCGUCGGAGGUCGUCUUUGCCGUCACCGGACUCG